Molecule: non-coding RNA, 23 nt
Filed under: Arabidopsis thaliana (thale cress)
Lineage: Eukaryota; Viridiplantae; Streptophyta; Magnoliopsida; Brassicales; Brassicaceae
Source: RNAcentral
GGCCAUUUGGGCCACACAAGUUA